RNAcentral lists this ribosomal RNA (467 nucleotides) under Favonigobius gymnauchen (sharp-nosed sand goby). RNAcentral describes it as "partial 12S ribosomal RNA". It matches the Rfam family "Bacterial small subunit ribosomal RNA", at positions 868 to 1528 of the family's 1533-position model. Lineage: Eukaryota; Metazoa; Chordata; Actinopteri; Gobiiformes; Gobiidae. The record is from RNAcentral.
UUCGCCAGGGAACAACGAGCCCCAGCUUAAAACCCAAAGGACUUGGCGGUGCUUUAGACCCCCCUAGAGGAGCCUGUUCUAGAACCGAUACUCCCCGUUCAACCUCACCCUUUCUUGUUAUUUCCGCCUAUAUACCGCCGUCGUCAGCUUACCCUGUGAAGGCCAAAUAGUAAGCAAAAUUGGCAAAGCCUAAAACGUCAGGUCGAGGUGUAGCGAACGAAAGGGGAAGAAAUGGGCUACAUUUACUGGAUCAGUAAACACGGAUUAUGCACUGAAAUAAGCAUUUAAAGGAGGAUUUAGCAGUAAGCGGGGAAUAGAGAGCCCCCCUGAAAACGGCCCUGAAGCGCGCACACACCGCCCGUCACUCUCCCCAAAAUUUAAAACCUAAGUAAAUAAAUCAACAACAAUCACAAGGGGAGGCAAGUCGUAACAUGGUAAGUGUACCGGAAGGUGCACUUGGAAAAACC